GAUGGCAGCCGGUGGUCUGAGUCGCUCCGAGCGCAAAGCGGCUGAGCGGGUCCGGAGGUUGCGGGAGGAGCAGCAGAGGGAGCGCCUCCGCCAGGUACGCCGCCGCCGCUCCCCGGCCCGGCCAUGCCCGGCCCGCGCCGCCGCUCACCGCCUGCCUGCCCGCAGGUGUCGCGCAUCCUGAGGAAGGCGGCGGCGGAGCGCAGCGCCGAGGAGGGCCGGCUGCUGGCCGAGAGCGCGGACCUGGUAACGGAGCUGCAGGGCCGGAGCCGGCGGCGCGAGGGCUUGAAGCGGCGGCAGGAGGAGGCAGCGUCUAUCCCAGACUACCGGGGCCCUAAUGGAGUGUGGACACUGCUUCAGAAAGGGAGAAGCGUUAGUGCUGCGGACCUGAGUGAGGCCGAGCCAACCCUCACCCACAUGAGCAUCACCCGUUUGCAUGAGCAGAAACUGGUGCAGCAUGUGGUGUCUCAGAACUGUGACGGGCUCCACCUGAGGAGUGGGCUGCCGCGCACGGCCAUCUCCGAGCUCCACGGGAACAUGUACAUUGAAGUGAGCAGUCCUGCAGGGACCCGGGGUCUCCACGGGCAGGCGGGUCCCACUCACUGUGCCCUCUUGCCUCUAGGUCUGUACCUCCUGCGUUCCCAACAGGGAGUACGUGCGGGUGUUUGAUGUGACAGAGCGCACCGCCCUCCACAGACACCAGACAGGCCGGACCUGCCACAAGUGUGGGACCCAGCUGCGGGACACCAUUGUGCACUUUGGGGAGAGGGGGACGUUGGGGCAGC
RNAcentral lists this small RNA (782 nucleotides) under Pongo abelii (Sumatran orangutan). Its description in RNAcentral is "retained intron". The record is from RNAcentral. Lineage: Eukaryota; Metazoa; Chordata; Mammalia; Primates; Hominidae.